Molecule: ribosomal RNA, 253 nt
Filed under: uncultured bacterium
Lineage: Bacteria
Also listed under: 1 other name
Description: partial 16S ribosomal RNA
Rfam family: Bacterial small subunit ribosomal RNA
Source: RNAcentral
UACGUAGGGUGCGAGCGUUGUCCGGAAUUAUUGGGCGUAAAGAGCUCGUAGGCGGUCUGUCACGUCGGAUGUGAAAACUCGGGGCUCAACCCCGAGCCUGCAUUCGAUACGGGCAGACUAGAGUUCGGUAGGGGAGACUGGAAUUCCUGGUGUAGCGGUGAAAUGCGCAGAUAUCAGGAGGAACACCGGUGGCGAAGGCGGGUCUCUGGGCCGAUACUGACGCUGAGGAGCGAAAGCGUGGGGAGCGAACAGG